Molecule: long non-coding RNA, 224 nt
Filed under: Lathyrus oleraceus (garden pea)
Lineage: Eukaryota; Viridiplantae; Streptophyta; Magnoliopsida; Fabales; Fabaceae
Description: Pisum sativum (pea) long non-coding RNA (PSAT_LNC001051)
Source: RNAcentral
GAAUGGUCCCAUUCGCCGGAGUGAAAUUCCAGGCAUAAGGUUCCGAAUAUAUUUAGAAACUUCAGCAUGCCUUAAAUGAGCAUGAGCAAUACUCGUAUGUGGCGUGGCAAUGGUUAAAGUCACGUGGGACAAGUCAUGUACAUGGUUGUAUGUAAGUUGAAUGUGGUUUGAAAUGUGUGUAAUUAUUGUAACUUUGGAAAGUUGUGAAUUAAAAUGGAUUUAAU